AACGAACGCUGGCGGCAGGCCUAACACAUGCAAGUCGAGCGAGGACUUCGGUCCUAGCGGCGGACGGGUGAGUAACGCGUGGGAACGUGCCCUUUGCUUCGGAAUAGCCCUGGGAAACUGGGAGUAAUACCGGAUGAGCCCUUUGGGGGAAAGAUUUAUCGGCGAAGGAUCGGCCCGCGUUGGAUUAGGUAGUUGGUGGGGUAAUGGCCUACCAAGCCGACGAUCCAUAGCUGGUUUGAGAGGAUGAUCAGCCACACUGGGACUGAGACACGGCCCAGACUCCUACGGGAGGCAGCAGUGGGGAAUCUUAGACAAUGGGGGAAACCCUGAUCUGCCAUGCCGCGUGAGCGAUGAAGGCCUUAGGGUUGUAAAGCUCUUUCAGCUGGGAAGAUAAUGACGGUACCAGCAGAAGAAGCCCCGGCUAACUCCGUG
RNAcentral lists this ribosomal RNA (432 nucleotides) under uncultured bacterium. RNAcentral describes it as "partial 16S ribosomal RNA". It matches the Rfam family "Bacterial small subunit ribosomal RNA", at positions 29 to 507 of the family's 1533-position model. The record is from RNAcentral.